RNAcentral lists this long non-coding RNA (571 nucleotides) under Pan troglodytes (chimpanzee). RNAcentral's name for it is "lncRNA (ENSPTRG00000053726.1)". Lineage: Eukaryota; Metazoa; Chordata; Mammalia; Primates; Hominidae. The record is from RNAcentral.
AUGCGGCCGGGCUCGUCCCCGCGCGCCCCAGAGUGUGGAGCGCCCGCGCUCCCCCGACCCCAACUUGACCGUCUCCCGGCUCGCCCAGCCCCCUCCCGGGGUAGGGGCGCCCCCUCCCUCCGGUGGCCGGCGAAGGAAGUCGGUCCACGGCCGCAGAUCCCGGCAACUUGCGAGCCGGGAAAAGUUUGCGGCGCCUCCGCGGGGCGGCGCGACGCGGCCCGUACCUCGCGUCCGCGGUCAUCGCGGGUGACUUUCUCGACUCGUCGUCAGCCGGGGCCGCUGCGCGGCCGGCGGGGACUGCGGGGCGGGCCGGAGUCCGUCCGAGGGCUCCCGCACCUCGGGCUGCGGCAUCAGACAUGUUGGCAUCAUCUCUUAGUUGGGCCCUGUGGCCAGGGAACCUUUCAUGAAACCACCUCUGCAGUCCUGGAGAGUUGCUGUAGAAGAAGGAAAAGAGAAGAAGACAACACAACACAGGAGGGGAUAAGUACCUCUGGACACAAUGGAAGUAGUAGUUGUUGAGCAGAGGGAAAGGGAUAGGAGAAGGAUGUGGACUGCAGUGCGGCAGUGCCAG